UUUUUGGAAGCAAUACAACAAUAUGAAGUGGAAUUUGGGAGCUUGUCAUCCUAGUUUUGUUCUUCCUCGUUGAUGUCUUGUCUAGAAACACGAUAGAAACUUGCCAAAAAAUAAAACUAGCAUGUGUACAAAUUUACACUUUUCAAUGAGUAUCACAUCCUACGAUCGCUACAGUAAUUUUAUAAACUACUACUAUACAGUGUACUUCUACAUUAUACAAACUUCGAUACCGUCUCUCAUAACAAAUAAUUAUCUCAACAUGUAGUAUACAAGUUUCGUUGCCAUUUACUCCAUUAACAGCUCUUUCAUGCUCUACUUAGGGUUUAUUUCAUCUAGUUUUAGCUGCCGGAUUCUCUGGUGUAGUCUUCUGCGGUGAUCGUGUAUCUUCCAAAGGCCAUGUCCCAAUACAACGGCUGAAUAUAUGCCAUGUGUAAUAAUCGGUACAAGAAUAUUAUUUGUCUGGAUCCAUUCAAAACCAAGAUAGAGAGCCAAAAGUCCUUCUAAGAGGGGAGAAUAGAUCUUUUUCAUUUGCCUCCUCUCAUACCAUGCUGCAAAGAGCUUUUUCAGAUCUUCGCGGCCAGACUGAGAUUGCAAAACUGGUGCAACUACAUAAGCAGGAUCUUUUGGGGAGGCGGCCACAUAAUACAGAGAACCUGUAAGAGCAGCUGUCAAUACAGCCGCAAAUGCCUGAGCAAAUGGAACAAAUGGAGGCAGCACACCAGUCAGAGAUGCCAUUCCUCGAGCAUCUGUCACCAAAUUGGUGCCCCUUAUGAAUACAUCAGCCAAUGCUCCCUACAAAAUCAGGAAAAAGUUUUUUAAAAAGAAGAAUAAUAAUUAUUUCCAGUGGAUGACAAACUGCUGCUGCUGAUACCUCCAUUGUUUACUUUUACUGCUGUUACUUAAAAGCUUUUGAAGAAUGAGAAAAGACAUGUCCUUAGAGAAAAAUUUUGAAAAAAUGGCAUAUCAUUAAACAUCUUAUAAAUACAAAACAAAUUCAACAAGGGAGCCUACUCAAACGACAAUUUUGGUGCGAAGGGAAUUUAAGGAUUACUUUCCAUUGUGUAUCUCUAUCAAUGGACUACAUAAAAAUGCAAAGAAAAUGAUAUCAUCAUUUACAAUGUGAUUUUAACAUUGAACUCCAAUAUAUAAACAAGAUACAGGAUUCCAACUACGCAUGAUUGUUGAAAGAUUCAACAGAAAUAUAAGUGCACUAAGUAUCUGAAUAUCUCUAGAAGCAAAACAUAUCGAAAGGUGCACAUUACAUAUAUAUGUUAAGUUUUUCAGAACCCUAGAAAAAAGAGAAACAAAUAGAAAAUUAUGGGGUCGCUAUGUUUAUAGGCACACAGAACCAGAAUAACCUAGCUUUUUUGUUAAAUUUGAUAGACAUAUACUGUGGAUAGUGUCACAACUCAUCAACAAACUCAAACUCAUACAUGGCACUUAUGAAUAAUUUAAUUAAAGAGAAGACUUGUAGCAAUGAGCCCCUAAUCUAAAACAAAGACCAUGCAAUUAUCAAUUGAGUAAUUCAAAGCAGUUGUUAAAUCUCUACAUUAUAUAUAAAAAAUUACUCAACUCAGAGUAAGAUAGAGACCUGAACAGCAGCUCGGUAGAAAAGCUCUUCUCCCACAGAACUUGCAACAACAAUCAGUAUAAACUGCCAAGGUGACAUCCCAUAAAAGAAACUCCGAAGUUCUUCAUCUUCCACAUCUCUGAUAGCUCGAGCAUGAGGUGAUAGCUUCACAACUUCAUCAUCCAAUAUAAAAAGAAGCGCCAUAAUUGGUGGAGAUGCAUAUCCAAGCCCUUCAACAAUGGCAUCUAUAGAUACUUCAAAACCUCCCAUGCUAUCUAUUCCAGUGAUUGAGCAUAAGAACCGUCCUGCUAAAGCCAUGGCACCAUAUAUACCGAUUCCAUAGCUAAGUCUAACCACAGCGCCAAUCUUCUCCCAAACAGGGAACUCAGUGUCGCUAAAGCUCCGAUCAAAUGUGGUCACUUCCAUCGCACUUCCUGUGAACCCUCCUCCUCCCCUCGUACUGUUUCGUUCUUCUAUCCCUUCACUGCUUCUCUCCGAAGACACUUUAGCGCACCGAAGUUGAACUCUAUUAAUGCCUCCAUCACUCAAGCUCAAUCUCCUCUUUCUCACUGGAAAUUCACUGAUUCUCAAGAAAGCGCCAAUCCUCCCACUAAAAGAAGCCGUCGAGGUUGCCGUCGCCGUCGCUGAUGCCGCUGAGUGAUUCGAAGUCCGAGAUGCAAACGUCAACUCCAUCACCCGAUAUUUCGGUUUUCGUUCAUGUAUCCAAGCAUAGCUCUGCCUCUGCUCUUUCUGUUCCUUGGCUCUUCGACUUUGGACCUUUCGUUCUUGGUGUUCGAGAGAGAGAGGUAACGUCCGGGUCAACAAGCACUUUGUGGCACGCCUGAUCUGAUUAGAGGAAGAUCGGACGGUGUAGAAACGGAGUGGAGUGGGGCCUACGUCGAUGGCUUUUGGGUUUUCAACUUUUUGAUAUUUUCUGUGAUUGUGGACCGGAUUGAUUGGUAGAGGAAGAAUAAAAGGAUUGCUUGUGAGAAUCAGGGAGACCAAUGAUACAACGACAUGUGGAGAUAACGCAGGCGGGUUCCCUGUUUUUACAAUCAACAAACUUUGCUUUUUUU
Molecule: unclassified non-coding RNA, 2646 nt
Filed under: Hevea brasiliensis (rubber tree)
Lineage: Eukaryota; Viridiplantae; Streptophyta; Magnoliopsida; Malpighiales; Euphorbiaceae
Source: RNAcentral